CCUGCGGAGGGAUCAUUACCGAGUUUACAACUCCCAAACCCAAUGUGAACGUUACCAAACUGUUGCCUCGGCGGGAUCUCUGCCCCGGGUGCGUCGCAGCCCCGGACCAAGGCGCCCGCCGGAGGACCAACCAAAACUCUUUUUGUAUACCCCCUCGCGGGUUUUUUAUAAUCUGAGCCUUCUCGGCGCCUCUCGUAGGCGUUUCGAAAAUGAAUCAAAACUUUCAACAACGGAUCUCUUGGUUCUGGCAUCGAUGAAGAACGCAGCGAAAUGCGAUAAGUAAUGUGAAUUGCAGAAUUCAGUGAAUCAUCGAAUCUUUGAACGCACAUUGCGCCCGCCAGUAUUCUGGCGGGCAUGCCUGUCCGAGCGUCAUUUCAACCCUCGAACCCCUCCGGGGGGUCGGCGUUGGGGAUCGGCCCUGCCUCUUGGCGGUGGCCGUCUCCGAAAUACAGUGGCGGUCUCGCCGCAGCCUCUCCUGCGCAGUAGUUUGCACACUCGCAUCGGGAGCGCGGCGCGUCCACAGCCGUUAAACACCCAACUUCUGAAAUGUUGACCUCGGAUCAGGUAGGAAUACCCGCUGAACUUAAGCAUAUCAAUA
Molecule: ribosomal RNA, 598 nt
Filed under: Trichoderma harzianum
Lineage: Eukaryota; Fungi; Ascomycota; Sordariomycetes; Hypocreales; Hypocreaceae
Description: eukaryotic LSU rRNA
Rfam family: 5.8S ribosomal RNA (bases 219-372)
Source: RNAcentral